GACGAACGCUGGCGGCGUGCCUAAUACAUGCAAGUAGAACGCUGAAGGAGGAGCUUGCUUCUCUGGAUGAGUUGCGAACGGGUGAGUAACGCGUAGGUAACCUGCCUGGUAGCGGGGGAUAACUAUUGGAAACGAUAGCUAAUACCGCAUAAUAGUAGAUGUUGCAUGACAUUUGCUUAAAAGGUGCAAUUGCAUCACUACCAGAUGGACCUGCGUUGUAUUAGCUAGUUGGUGAGGUAACGGCUCACCAAGGCGACGAUACAUAGCCGACCUGAGAGGGUGAUCGGCCACACUGGGACUGAGACACGGCCCAGACUCCUACGGGAGGCAGCAGUAGGGAAUCUUCGGCAAUGGACGGAAGUCUGACCGAGCAACGCCGCGUGAGUGAAGAAGGUUUUCGGAUCGUAAAGCUCUGUUGUAAGAGAAGAACGAGUGUGAGAGUGGAAAGUUCACACUGUGACGGUAUCUUAUCAGAAAGGGACGGCUAACUACGUG
This 495-nucleotide ribosomal RNA is filed under the name uncultured bacterium. RNAcentral's name for it is "partial 16S ribosomal RNA". It matches the Rfam family "Bacterial small subunit ribosomal RNA", at positions 28 to 507 of the family's 1533-position model. The record is from RNAcentral.